Molecule: ribosomal RNA, 306 nt
Filed under: uncultured bacterium
Lineage: Bacteria
Description: partial 16S ribosomal RNA
Rfam family: Bacterial small subunit ribosomal RNA
Source: RNAcentral
GACAGCAGCAGCCACGGGAAUACAGAGGGUGCGAGCGUUAAUCGGAUUUACUGGGCGUAAAGCGUGCGUAGGCGGCUUUUUAAGUCGGAUGUGAAAUCCCUGAGCUUAACUUAGGAAUUGCAUUCGAUACUGGGAAGCUAGAGUAUGGGAGAGGAUGGUAGAAUUCCAGGUGUAGCGGUGAAAUGCGUAGAGAUCGGAAGGAACAUCUGUGGCGAAGGCGACUAUCUGGGCCAACACUGACACUGAGGCACGAAAGCGUGGGGAGCAAACAGGAUUAGAUACCCGAGUAGUCCCUGUCUCUUAUAA